UACGAAGGGGGCUAGCGUUGGCUCGGAAAUCACUGGGCGUAAAGGGCGCGUAGGCGGCCGAUCAAGUCAGAGGUGAAAGCCCAAGGCUCAACCUUGGAAUUGCCUUUGAUACUGUUUGGCUAGAGACCGGAAAGAGGUUAGUGGAACUGCGAGUGUAGAGGUGAAAUUCGUAGAUAUUCGCAAGAACACCAGUGGCGAAGGCGGCUAACUGGUCCGGUUCUGACGCUGAGGCGCGAAAGCGUGGGGAGCAAACAGG
RNAcentral lists this ribosomal RNA (256 nucleotides) under uncultured bacterium. Its description in RNAcentral is "partial 16S ribosomal RNA". It matches the Rfam family "Bacterial small subunit ribosomal RNA", at positions 524 to 776 of the family's 1533-position model. The record is from RNAcentral.